UCUGGUUUCUGGGACACCAUCAAUAUUGUUUCCUCACUGGGACUCCUCUUGGAGUAUCUGUUGUCACCCUGUGUCAUGAGGAUCCUGAAGCUUUAGAUUAAUAGGACUGGCCCUUUAAUGUCCCCCAACUGUUCUCAGAUGAUGGAGAUUUUGGAUCUGGGCCUGUGUGUGGGUCUGGGCCUGUGUGUGGGUCUGGGCCUGUGUGUGGGUCUGGGCCUGUGUGUGGAUCUGGGCCUGUGUGUGGGUCUGGGCCUGUGUGUGGGUCUGGGCCUGUGGUGGCCGAGCUGCUCAGCAGCCUGGCUCUCUUUUAGCUACACCACCAGGUGAUUCUCCAGCACUGCCUCAUCAAGGCCAUCCAAGGGCUCCAUCGGCAGAUGCAGGGUCAGCGCUCCUAUUCUCAUGCCUUCUGGCUGGCUCACUGCUACUCAUGCCUCCAGAGCCAGCUCCACUGAGCUGCCCAGUCAAGACACAGGGCACACCCUCCCAAGGGCUGCAGCCAGUGAGGGGCUGGGCCAGCUCUCCUGCACCCUUCCUUUGGGGUGGAGUGAGUCGCCUGUGCCUCCUCCACCAGGGCCCACUCUACUGUGCUGCAGGGGCUGCUCUCCUGAGUGCUACAGUCUAUGAGGGGCAGAGUUUUAAGUCAUUUUAAGCCUUUGGUUCUAUUAGUACUUCAAAACUUUUAAAAUAUUACAGUAUCACUAAUACUGAAAUGCGAUAUCAAAAACUUCCUAAUAAUUUCUUGGACAUAUCUUAACAAAUACGUUUUUAUAGUUAUAUACAA
Molecule: long non-coding RNA, 781 nt
Filed under: Rattus norvegicus (Norway rat)
Lineage: Eukaryota; Metazoa; Chordata; Mammalia; Rodentia; Muridae
Description: long non-coding RNA NONRATT006544
Source: RNAcentral